ACAGGAUACUCCCCCUCACCUACAGAACGUAGACAGCAGAAGGUCAGGCAGAAGAGGGGCAGGCCUGUCCCCUUAAGGCCAAAACGCUGAGGGCUCACACCUGCUGACAAACCUGCUCCUUAAAAGCCAAACCUUGGCUUCAGCUUGUUGCUGACUACAAUGUCAGGUGUGACCACUGAACCUUGACUUGGACUGAUCUCUCGGCAAACUAGACUCUUCUGGAUUUCUGGCUUGGCACAGGACAGGAUUCCAACUAAUUCAAGAGCCAAUCAUGGCACAGCACUACGCAUAUAGAAGACCAACAGCGCGACAUAGAUGUCAAGAGCCAUGAUCUAAAAGUCACGCUUUAAAUGCAGUUCUCAUCUAUUAAGUACAAUCUACGUAAUGCUGUUUAGAAUCAUAGAGUCAUAGAGUUGGAAGGGGCCUUGUAGGCCAUCGAGUCCAACCCCCUGCUCACAGCAGGAAAUCCACAGCUAGAGCAUCUCCCACAGAUAGCCUCUGCUUGAAGACAUCCAGCGAAGGGGAUCCCACCACCUCCCUAGGCAGUCGGUUCCAUUGCCGAACUGCCCUUACUGUCAAGAAGUUCCUUCUAAUGUCCAAUCUGAAUCUACGCUCCUGCAACUUAAAACCAUUAGACCUAGUCCUACCCUCUGGGGCAGCAGAGAACAAAUCUGUACCCUCCUCUAUGUGACUAUGUGACUAUGUAUGCCCUUCAGGUACUUAAAGAGUGCAAUCAUGUCACCCCUCAAUCUUCUCUUCACCAGACUGAACAUGCCAAGUUCCUUCAACCUUUCCUCAUAAGACUUGUUCUCCAUACCGGCUAUCAUCCUCGUCGCCCUCUUCUAAACCCGCUCUAAUUUGUCUAUAUCUUUCUUAAAAUGAGGCGCCCAGAACUGAACGCAGUAUUCCAGAUGAGGCCUGACUAAUGCAGAAUAUAGUGGGACUAUUCUCUGAUUAUUUCAAUGAGGUUUGUGCAAGAAGCACAGCCUUAUCAACAUGAGUUAAUACUGCAUAUCAGCACUGCUUAGGUAGAUUGCACCCUUCAUUGGUAAUUUAUCUAUCCUGUUAUAUCUUUGUAGCUUUCAUUCAAAUCUGUUUGUGCUGGCAGCACAAGAAUAUGAUUUGUACACAGAAAAGGCAUUUGUUCACACUCUCCGCUUUCACUUUGCUUAAAAAUAUAUUUUUUAAAUUUAUUAAUACUGACAGCAUGUUUAAACUAUGCAUAUUUUGCAGGCAAUAUUAAAACACGCUUAUGCAUAUAAAUAGAUUUGGAAUCUAAAUGUACAGUAAGCUUUGACUGUAAAUAUUGUUGAUCCUUAACAGAAAAAUAAUGGGUUCCCCUCCCCCCAUCAAAGUCUUGAAUUGAGCAAACACAUUUCAAUGUUCUGACAGGAGAUAUAUUUUUAAAAAAGUAGUAUAAUCAUGUAAUAUAAUCUUAGAACUGAUUUGCAGUUCUACUUUGAUUAAUUUUAAUAGUUAUUUUUAUUAUGUAUUGAAAAUUAUUUCUCACAUGCAGUCAAGCAUUCACACGGGACACCACAAGUCGUCUUCCCCUCCCUUUCUCUCUCUUGACACAGUAGAAUUGAGAAUAUUAGGGAGGAUGGUAAAAUUAUUUCAAGAUGUAUAUCAAUCUUGUAUUUAAAUGCUCACUUGGUCACCUUUGGUGACCAGGAAUUCCAGAUAGGUGAGUGAAAUUUCUUCCAGGCGAGUGAGUGGGCUGGAAAGGAAGGGUGGUGCUUUUACAGCCCAUAAGAGAGAGAUUCUAGUUCCUGAGGCUUGUGCUUGUACUGAUAGAGCAAGCAAUAAAGAGGUACUGCUGCAACCCACCUGGUAUGGACUGACUGAGCAGUUCGCCAGCUGAGACAUAACAGAUGUCUUUUGAGACAUAACAGAAAUGUAUUAUAAAAGCAGCAUUUCAAGUGUAAAAUCUGAUUUUAAGUGUUGGGGUAUCAUCAUUGCUUGGGGGGCUGGGGGGAUGUGAGAUUCUGUUAUGCCAUUCUGUUAAUCUUAUGGAUAAAAAAAUUAUUC
Molecule: long non-coding RNA, 2028 nt
Organism: Rhineura floridana
Lineage: Eukaryota; Metazoa; Chordata; Lepidosauria; Squamata; Rhineuridae
Exons: 3
Source: RefSeq, a predicted model, not a curated record